GAUGAACGCUGGCGGCGUGCCUAAUACAUGCAAGUCGAGCGAACAGACGAGGAGCUUGCUCCUCUGACGUUAGCGGCGGACGGGUGAGUAACACGUGGAUAACCUACCUAUAAGACUGGGAUAACUUCGGGAAACCGGAGCUAAUACCGGAUAACAUGUUGAACCGCAUGGUUCAACAGUGAAAGACGGUUUUGCUGUCACUUAUAGAUGGAUCCGCGUCGCAUUAGCUAGUUGGUAAGGUAACGGCUUACCAAGGCAACGAUGCGUAGCCGACCUGAGAGGGUGAGCGGCCACACUGGAACUGAGACACGGUCCAGACUCCUACGGGAGGCAGCAGUAGGGAAUCUUCCGCAAUGGGCGAAAGCCUGACGGAGCAACGCCGCGUGAGUGAAGAAGGUCUUCGGAUCGUAAAACUCUGUUAUUAGGGAAGAACAAAUGUGUAAGUAACUAUGCACGUCUUGACGGUACCUAAUCAGAAAGCCACGGCUAACUACGUG
This 497-nucleotide ribosomal RNA is filed under the name uncultured bacterium. Its description in RNAcentral is "partial 16S ribosomal RNA". It matches the Rfam family "Bacterial small subunit ribosomal RNA", at positions 28 to 507 of the family's 1533-position model. The record is from RNAcentral.